This 323-nucleotide ribosomal RNA is filed under the name Streptomyces sp. WAC06273. Its description in RNAcentral is "partial 23S ribosomal RNA". It matches the Rfam family "Bacterial large subunit ribosomal RNA", at positions 1323 to 1546 of the family's 2925-position model. The record is from RNAcentral. Lineage: Bacteria; Bacillati; Actinomycetota; Actinomycetes; Kitasatosporales; Streptomycetaceae.
GAGAAACGUUUGCGCCGAUUGACUAAGGGUUCCUGGGUCAAGCUGAUCUGCCCAGGGUAAGUCGGGACCUAAGGCGAGGCCGACAGGCGUAGUCGAUGGAUAACCGGUUGAUAUUCCGGUACCCGCUCUGAAGCGUCAAACAUCGAGCAUCGUGAUGCUAAGGCCGUGAAGCCGCCCUGAUCUCUUCGGAGUUGAGGGGAGUGGUGGAGCCGCUGAACCAAGCGGUUAGUAGGUGAGUGAUGGGGUGACGCAGGAAGGUAGUCCAUCCCGGGCGGUGGUUGUCCCGGGGUAAGGGUGUAGGCCGUGCGGUAGGUAAAUCCGUC